Molecule: non-coding RNA, 405 nt
Organism: Paramuricea clavata
Lineage: Eukaryota; Metazoa; Cnidaria; Anthozoa; Malacalcyonacea; Plexauridae
Source: the annotation of a GenBank genome assembly
CGAUAGUUUUAUUUUUAAAAUGUAACUCAGUACUUUGACCCGUCUCAUUGUGUAUUUUUUACACAAACACGUUGUGUAAAUUGGGAAUCCUUAUCCUUGUCGUAAUCAUGUAAGUACUAGUUUAAAUUGUUUUUGUUUUUAAAAUACCUGAUUUAGCCUCCAAACAAUACCUUUAUCGUUUGAUCGAAUUGAUGAUCAUAUAUGAUGUAUGUUUUCUAGGUUGAACAGGGUUUUUACAUCGAGUAGCAUUGCUGCUGGCCGGAGAAUAAACACGAUUACCAACCAUAUUGUAAGUGUACUGUGCCCUCAUUAGGGUGCAUUCCAUGUAAACUCUACGUCGGAGAUAGGAUAACAUAAUAUUUGCCUUGAUCACGCCAUUACAUUCAAAACAAUUUUACUUUUGGG